CAGAAUAGGAAGGAAUGUGUGAGUUACUUCUUUCACAUGCCCACAGUUUACUUUAAAAUAGGAAAAUAGGGCUUCUGCAAAAUGGAAAAUUUUAGUUUAUGACUGAUUUUGAGGAGUGGCUUUCCUUUUCAUGGACACUUAAUUUUGUUCUGAUGUUAAUAUACCAAAUUUCUUCUGUGUAUCAGAUAACACCACCAUUCAUAAGUUAAGAUUCUUGGUAUUUGGAUAUCUGUUAGAUGCUACUAAGAAAAUAUAGAUAAGCUUUCUUUUUAAAGCUUUUGAGGUGGUGUCACAGAAUAGCGUGUUGUAGAUACAGUCAACUGCUUUGUUACCUUCCAAGUAGGCAUCUGUAAGUACUGAAACUUAAGAUGGCAGGUGAUGUCCUGUAGACACUGCUGUUCAGAUUGGACAUAACUGACAGAGUUCAUUCUUUCUCUCUAAAAGUGAUAGGGGAUUUGUAGCUUAGUGGUUUUUCAUUUAUUUAUUUCUAAUUUGCUGCUAAUAAUGUAUAUGAAUUUAACAUUCUGUGUAAAUUGUCAUUUGUUACUGCACAGUUUAUGCAGUGUUGCUUUGCCAAAUAAAAGUUCAAAGUAAAAAAAAUCAAGUUAUCAAGGAUAAGAAAUAUUGUUUUAAGGUUUAUUUAAGUAUUUGCAAAGCAGAAUAACACAGAGAGAGAGAGAGAGAGAGAGAGAGAGAGGUCCUCCAUCCACAGGUUCACUCUCCAGAGGGCUACAAUGGCUGGAUCUUGCUGAUCUGAAGCCAAGAGUCAGGACCCUCAUCCAAGUCUCCCACAUGAGUGCAGAGACCAAAGGAUUUGUGCCAUCCUCCAAUGCUUUUCUAGGGCAUUUUGAACCAGUGCUCUUAUGAAAUGCCAGCACUGCAGGUGGAGGUUUAACCUACUAUGCCACAGUGCUGGCCCCAAUAAAAAUAAUUCUAAAUCAACAUACCAAAAUUUAGAAUUCUUUGAAGUUUUAUUUAGGUAUUUGAAAGGCUGAGUUAGAGAGUGGGACAGAAAUCUUCAACCUACUGGUUCAAUGCCAGACAUCUGCAGCAAGCAAGCACUGGGCCAGACUGAAGGCAGGAGCCUGGAGCUCCAUUCAGGUCUCCUACAUCUGUGGCAAGGAUCUAAACACUUGUGCCAUUUUCCUCUGCUCUUCCCAGGCCAUUAGCAGGGAGUUUGAUCUGAAGCAGAGCAGCUGUGACACGGGACCAUAUGGAUGCCAGCAUCAUAGGUGGUGGCCUUACCCACAACAUCACAGUUCCAGCCCUGACAUUAAAAAUGUUCAAGUUCUAGUUCUUCUCCAGGAGGAUUUAUAUUUAUAAGACCAUUAAAAAUAAUUAUAAAUAUGGGUUUCUCAUGGAAGAUCAAUGGAGUAACCAUGAAUUUCUAGAACUCAAAAAAAGAAAAAAAAGACAGAAUUGUGAAACUGCUGAUGGAGAUCAAAAGAGAAAAAAGAGAAAAAAAGUAAUUAUAGGACUCAAUGAACUGGUGAAAUUGAUAAGAUCCUGGAGACAUCUUCAUGUACCCAAGUCUGACAAAAAUGAAUAUAUUGCCAGUAAGUUGUUUAUUCCUCAGCUUCUUUCACAUUGUAUUUAUUUUAUUUUAUUUUAUUUUUGACAGGCAGUUAGAAAGUGAGAGAGAGACAGAGAGAAAGG
Non-coding RNA from Oryctolagus cuniculus (rabbit), 1656 nucleotides. The record is from RefSeq and is a predicted model, not a curated record. Lineage: Eukaryota; Metazoa; Chordata; Mammalia; Lagomorpha; Leporidae.